CUGAAAUUGCUGCUGAGGCCGAGUAUGUUGUAGUGGCUGAGAUUGUGCUUGAAACUGCUGCUGAGGUUGAGUUUGAGGCUGUGAUUGUGGCUGAGAUUGAGGCAGAAAUUGCUGCUGAGGCUGAGUAUGUUGCAGUGGCUGAGAUUGUGCUUGAAAUUGCUGCUGAGACUGAGGUUGCAGUUGUGAUUGAGAUUGAGGUCGCAAUUGUUGCUGGAUUUGAGGCAGCAAAUGGGACUGAGAUGGAACUUGUAACUGGUGCUGGGGAUGAGGCUGUGCCCAUGGAACAAUAUAACUAUUGUAACUUGCCUGCCCUUGGUUUCCAGGAUAAGUUUCAGAAAUAUAUGGAUACCCUUGGGUGCUUGAGGCUGGUACUUGAGGCAUGCUCUGGUUAGCAGCAGUUGGAGUAUGAGGUGUGUGGGGUUGAUGGGAUGUUGGUGUUGAUAAGGUGAUGCUCAAAAGGUCAAUUAUAUUUUGCUCUUUUGUAGUCCUAACUGGUGCAGGUGGAUCAGGAAGAGCUAGCGCAGUGCAUG
This 530-nucleotide unclassified non-coding RNA is filed under the name Hevea brasiliensis (rubber tree). Lineage: Eukaryota; Viridiplantae; Streptophyta; Magnoliopsida; Malpighiales; Euphorbiaceae. The record is from RNAcentral.